UAACAGUGAAACAUAGCUUCAACAAGUCCCUCUCUAGCUUCCAGGGCAUUUUGGAGGGUUUAUUCAUUUAGUUUAUCCUUCAUGAAAUGUUCUGGCCUUCUUCUCAGCAUAAGUUGUGAACACUUGAAUGAUUGAUCUUAACCUUGAAUGGUAUAUUUCUUUUCCACUCCUGAUUUACUGUAUUUAAUGUAAGAGUGUUUGCCUUAAUUUACUUCAGGUUUGACAUAGAAAAUUUUACUAUAUUUAGAGUCUGAGAGAUUGGUAAAAAUCAAUGGAGUAUAACCAAUGGUUAUCCAAAAAGGAGUGAUUUCUCAGCAUGGCAGUAUUAGUUAGUCAAGGGUAAAUGUAGCCAAAAGUAGCUCAACAGCUAAAAGUCACAUUUAAAUAGUAAUGGUAUAUUGACAUGAAGUCUUUCAAGCCAAAAAUAGACAGGGUGUGGCAAGACAGCAGAGCCCCUGAUUGCUGUAUUCCAGUUGGCAGUAUUAUAAAAGAGAAGAACUCAAAAUUAAAAAAUAAACCCGAACACAGGAAAUUCUUUUCAGUCUGAUGUGUACUCACAACAUUUUACUGGUAUAAAAAGCAAGUGUAGCUUCUCCCAUCUACUUUUCACUACUGUUGGCCAUAACUUCAGAACCCCAGAAAUGAUACAGAAAGUUACUAUAGCACUACCAAUAAAUAAAUAAAUAAAUAAAUAAAUAAAUAAAUUCAUUACAAUCCUGGGCCACUAGCUGAUUUAUCAAAAAGCAAUGAUCAGAGUCAAUCAUAUAAUAUCCCACUGACUUCCCAGCCUUUCUAGAGAUCUGUUUAUUGAGAAGCCUGGAUAAGGCAACUCUUCAUGAGCAGUGUCUUCAUGCCCCAGGUAAUGCUGAUAUUCUCUUUGCAAAGAAGGUUUCCAUUGUUUCCAGUGGAUCAGAAUCUUCUACAGCCUUAUAAGAGAGAGAUAAGCAUUUUCAAAGCAUGGCAUGAGGUUUAAUUUCCUGAUACUUGUUCAAAAUCAUCCAUUGGUUUUAAUAGCAAAAUGCCUGCUGUCAUAAAUAAAUAACCAUACAGAUUUUUGGACAAGUCUUUUCUGUGUGAGUGUGACACACUGUUAUCUCAAA
This is a long non-coding RNA of Oxyura jamaicensis (ruddy duck), 1100 nucleotides long. RefSeq lists it as uncharacterized. NCBI's taxonomy places the organism in Eukaryota, Metazoa, Chordata, Aves, Anseriformes, Anatidae. The transcript is spliced from 2 exons. The record is from RefSeq and is a predicted model, not a curated record.